UACGUAGUGGGCAAGCGUUGUCCGGAAUCAUUGGGCGUAAAGAGCGUGUAGGCGGUCCGUUAAGUCGGCUGUGAAAGUCCAAGGCUCAACCUUGGGAUGCCGGUCGAUACUGCCGGACUAGAGUUCGGAAGAGGCGAGUGGAAUUCCCGGUGUAGCGGUGAAAUGCGCAGAUAUCGGGAGGAACACCUAUGGCGAAGGCAGCUCGCUGGGACGUUACUGACGCUGAGACGCGAAAGCUAGGGUAGCAAAUGGG
RNAcentral lists this ribosomal RNA (253 nucleotides) under uncultured bacterium. Its description in RNAcentral is "partial 16S ribosomal RNA". It matches the Rfam family "Bacterial small subunit ribosomal RNA", at positions 524 to 776 of the family's 1533-position model. The record is from RNAcentral.